CCGAGUUUACAACUCCCAAACCCCUGUGAACAUACCUAUACGUUGCCUCGGCGGAUCAGCCCGCGCCCCGUAAAAGGGACGGCCCGCCCGAGGACCCCUAAACUCUGUUUCUAUAUGUAACUUCUGAGUAAAACCAUAAAUAAAUCA
This 147-nucleotide unclassified non-coding RNA is filed under the name soil metagenome. RNAcentral describes it as "partial internal transcribed spacer 1". The record is from RNAcentral.